Molecule: ribosomal RNA, 494 nt
Filed under: uncultured bacterium
Lineage: Bacteria
Description: bacterial SSU rRNA
Rfam family: Bacterial small subunit ribosomal RNA
Source: RNAcentral
AUUGAACGCUGGCGGCAUGCUUUACACAUGCAAGUCGAACGGUAACGGGGACUUCGGUCUGCCGACGAGUGGCGAACGGGUGAGUAAUAUAUCGGAACGUGCCCAGUAAUGGGGGAUAGCUCGGCGAAAGCCGGAUUAAUACCGCAUACGCCCUGAGGGGGAAAGUGGGGGAUCUUCGGACCUCACGUUAUUGGAGCGGCCGAUAUCAGAUUAGCUAGUUGGUGGGGUAAAGGCCUACCAAGGCGACGAUCUGUAGCUGGUCUGAGAGGAUGAUCAGCCACACUGGGACUGAGACACGGCCCAGACUCCUACGGGAGGCAGCAGUGGGGAAUAUUGGACAAUGGGCGCAAGCCUGAUCCAGCAAUGCCGCGUGUGUGAAGAAGGCCUGCGGGUUGUAAAGCACUUUCAGUGGGGAAGAACAGGCCUGGGCUAAUACCCCAGGUGUCUGACGUUACCCACAGAAGAAGCACCGGCUAACUCCGUGCCAGCAGCCG